Carya illinoinensis is the source of this 86-nucleotide small nucleolar RNA. RefSeq annotates it as small nucleolar RNA U30. The transcript has a single exon. The record is from RefSeq and is a predicted model, not a curated record. Lineage: Eukaryota; Viridiplantae; Streptophyta; Magnoliopsida; Fagales; Juglandaceae.
UGCGAUGAUGAUGGGUAUACUAGAAAUCUCGUUAAUCUGAUGUUAAAAGGAGGAAUUUCUCCCAUCCAUUCGUUACAGUUCUGAGC